RNAcentral lists this ribosomal RNA (254 nucleotides) under uncultured bacterium. RNAcentral describes it as "partial 16S ribosomal RNA". It matches the Rfam family "Bacterial small subunit ribosomal RNA", at positions 57 to 305 of the family's 1533-position model. The record is from RNAcentral.
GCAAGUCGAGCGGUAACAGGAAUUAGCUUGCUAUUUUGCUGACGAGUGGCGGACGGGUGAGUAAUGCUUGGGAAUUUGCCUGAUGGUGGGGGACAACAGUUGGAAACGACUGCUAAUACCGCAUAAUGUCUACGGACCAAAGGUGGCCUCUAUUUAUAUGCUAUCGCUUUUCGAUGAGCCCAAGUGGGAUUAGCUAGUUGGUAAGGUAAAGGCUUACCAAGGCGACGAUCCCUAGCUGGUCUUAGAGGAUGACC